CAUGGCGGGGGAGGGGAGCCUCCUCAUGGGGUUGCCAUGGCGACCAUUGGUUUUCUCAUCCAGCUUGCAUCUUCAUCCACAGAUGACUCCCCCUUCCCUGACAGUCCAUGGCUGAAUCUUAGAACCUCUUCAGAAACGUCCUUUGUGGUCAAUAUUUCCUUCAUGCCAAUGAGACAGGGUAAACUUGCCUACGGGGCCUAACCUUCUAAAUGGAUGUCCAGACAGGAAGAACAAAACCCAUUAUAGCACUUUCAUCUUUUAAAAAAAUAAAAGGUUUAUAGCUUUUUGUUCCCCCUCCCCCUCCCCAUUUCAUGAUGUCCAUUCCUUAAGAAGGGUUUAAAUAAUAUGAAAACUUUCUUUUUGGAAAUAAAAAAAUAUAUAUCUAUAUAUCUAUAUAUAUCUAUUUGGUGUUUGAUACAUCGGUAGGUACUUUAAAGACCUGAAUUUUAUAGUAGCUUUAGCGAUUAUAUUUUAUAAGAAUCAGUUAUGACUUUAUAUUUCCAGAUAGAGAGUUCAGAACACGAUGCUCUAAGCCCCCCUCCUCUGCCCCUCCUCGGCUUGCUUUUCCUGCUCUCCCGACCUCUACCCCUCCCCCCUCCGGGUUCCCAGGGCUUUGAGCUUGAUCUUUUGAAAGUUUUAUUCUAUUGAAGUUUUUGCUAUAUCUUCUGGUUUUCUUAAGAAGCUUUAGAGUGGUUUCUAUGCCCUUUGUACCACUGCACUGUUCAUAUCAUCUCGGGGUCGAUUGUGACUGCGUCCGGAUGGGAAACCGAGGCAGAGGCGUCGAUAGUCACGUUUUCUGGUCUCCCUGCAACAUGUCCAUGGGGGGUGGGGGGAUCCUGGAAAGUCUGGUGCUUAGAGAGGGUGCCAUUGUCUCUUGUAUAUACGGUCAUGAUGUGUCUAUGUCAAAAGUUCUUAUAUAUUUCUUUUAUAAGCUGAAAGAAGGUCUAUUUUUAUGUUUUUAGGUCUAUGAAUGGAACGUUGUAAAUGCUUGUCCAACAAUAAAAAUACUGAAAAGGG
Molecule: long non-coding RNA, 1017 nt
Filed under: Rattus norvegicus (Norway rat)
Lineage: Eukaryota; Metazoa; Chordata; Mammalia; Rodentia; Muridae
Description: long non-coding RNA NONRATT006842
Source: RNAcentral